UACACAUGCAAGUCGAGUGCGCAGUCAUCUGUAGCAAUACAGGUGGCGGGCGCACGGCGCACGGGUGCGUAACACGUGGGCAAUCUGCCCUCUGAUGGGGAAUAACCCGCCGAAAGGCGGGCUAAUACCGCAUAACAUCUUUUGGCCUUCGGGCUGGGAGAUCAAAACCGCAAGGUGUCAGAGGAGGAGCCCGCGCCCGAUUAGCUUGUUGGCGGGGUAACGGCCCACCAAGGCUAUGAUCCGUAGCCGGUCUGAGAGGACAACCGGCCCCACUGGAACUGAAACACCGUCCAAACUCCUACUGGAGGCAGCAGUGGG
RNAcentral lists this small RNA (318 nucleotides) under uncultured bacterium. RNAcentral's name for it is "bacterial SSU rRNA". It matches the Rfam family "Bacterial small subunit ribosomal RNA", at positions 50 to 358 of the family's 1533-position model. The record is from RNAcentral.